This 497-nucleotide ribosomal RNA is filed under the name uncultured bacterium. RNAcentral's name for it is "partial 16S ribosomal RNA". It matches the Rfam family "Bacterial small subunit ribosomal RNA", at positions 28 to 507 of the family's 1533-position model. The record is from RNAcentral.
GAUGAACGCUGGCGGCGUGCCUAAUACAUGCAGGUCGAGCGAACGGACGAGAAGCUUGCUUCUCUGAUGUUAGCGGCGGACGGGUGAGUAACACGUGGAUAACCUACCUAUAAGACUGGGAUAACUUCAGGAAACCGUAGCUAAUACCGGAUAAUAUUUUGAACCGCAUGGUUCAAAAGUGAAAGACGGUCUUGCUGUCACUUAUAGAUGGAUCCGCGCUGCAUUAGCUAGUUGGUAAGGUAACGGCUUACCAAGGCAACGAUGCAUAGCCGACCUGAGAGGGUGAUCGGCCACACUGGAACUGAGACACGGUCCAGACUCCUACGGGAGGCAGCAGUAGGGAAUCUUCCGCAAUGGGCGAAAGCCUGACGGAGCGACGCCGCGUGAGUGAUGAAGGUCUUCGGAUCGUAAAACUCUGUUAUUAGGGAAGAACAUAUGUGUAAGUAACUGUGCACAUCUUGACGGUACCUAAUCAGAAAGCCACGGCUAACUACGUG